UCCUAAUAGCGAACUCCUAAUAGCUCUUCGUGCAACAUGUUCGCCUGUUAACUCAAAAUAAUUUUUCGUACAUUUUAGAGACAUUAUUGCCGCAUUAUCGCGCGACUACCUCUUUGCAAAAUAUAUUCUCCUAUUAACUCAAACUCGAUUUUUCAAGCAUAUUUAAAGGCUUAACCGCAUGAGACAUAACCUGUUUUAGAUUAAAUGAUGCAAAAUAAUUUUUACGAGUUAAUGAUGCUAUUAAGUGAAAAAUUUACAAUAAUAAAAAAUGCAAGGUCGAGCUUGUUACAUUGUUACACGCAGUUGCAUGGAGACGUUUACUAAGUGGAAUAAAAUAAACAGUUUUCUGCUACUAACUAUAAUAGUAACAAAAGAGUUGACGCAAGCAAUGGAAGAGUCUUGGUUGCAUCGCAUAUUUUACAAUUCUGUUUACAAUCGGAUGAAAAUUGAAAAUAUAGAACUUCAUCAUAGCAAAUAGCAGCCUUUAAUCAGAAAUUUAGCCCAGAAUCUCCUUUUCAUGCAACAUGAUAUAAAUAUCAAUGUCAUGUAUGGAAGAUGCAAUUUCUUAUAAGGAUACGCAUAUGUAUGGAUUACAGAGGUGCAGAUGUAUCACGUAGACAUUUUUCUGAUUAUUACAAAAGUCAGUUUUUCCAUACAAAUUGUGCGAUCGCAUUAACAAAUUGGAUGCAUUGCUUUGAUCAAAUUAAAGACAAAUUUCUGUCACAAGGAUUUAAAUUAUGUGGCUGACAGGAGAAAACGUUUGUUGUUAGGAAGCUAAAACAACAAACAGAGACAUAUAUAUUUUGCAGGUGAUGAAUGUUUAAUAAUACUUUUGAGCACUUAUUUCAAUCUGAGAGAGUUGUCCGGAACUAUUGGAACCCACAAUGUUCAUGUUCAAAAAACGAUCAUUAGGAAAUUCAGAAGAUACUUAUGAUGAAAAUUAUUUAAGGGAAACAAAACAUAGACGUGGAAUGAAGGAAUCUUUAAAUCAUUUGUCAGAAAUGCGAAUGAAAAAGAGAUACUGCAUUAAGUUUAUCUAAUCGCGAUUUAGAGGCCCUUCUCGAAGAUUUUAUAGUCCUACAACAAUUAUUAGAUCUUGAUCAAGCUGUAUUACAAAAAGUAUUGAACAAUAUUCCAAUGAAGAUUUCAAGAGAAAAAUAUAGUUGCGUGCUUCUAAUCGGAUUGGAUUUGAAGUUUAAAGACAGAACAUAAACGCUGAAUUUUCGAAAAAAAAAAGAAAAUUUAUACAUAUAUGAAUAUUAUAAACAAUAUAUUUAGUCUCUAAAAAGGAAAAUGUUUUUCAGGGAGAUAAAUACAAUAAUAUGAGUUAGAAGCAUAUAUUAUUUUACAUAUUGAUUUUUAUAUUAUUGUAUUAUGUUUUUAUCAUUGUUGGGACGCACAUGAAAUAAAGAUAUAUUAAAAAUAAAAUGAAACUUAACUAUGUUGAAAAUUAAAGAGAGAGAUAGAGUUGGUAAUUAUGAUGGUAACUUACCAACGCGACAUCUUAUAUAUGAUGGUAACUUACCAACGUUGAUAAUUUACCGACUGUCAUUUUUGAACGAUCUCUUUGAAAAUAUAGUCUCCUAAUAGCGAACUCCUAAUAGCUCUUCGUACAACAUGUUCGCCUGUUAAUUUAAAAUAAUUUUUCGGACAUUUUAGAGGCAUUAUUGCCGCAUUAUCGCGCGACUACCUCUUUGCAAAAUAUAUUCUCCUAUUAACUCAAACUCAAUUUUUCAAGCAUAUUUAAAGGCUUGAUCGCAUGAGACAUAACCUGUUUUAGAUUAAAUAAUUUUUACGAGUUAAUGAUGCUAUUAAGUGAAAAAUUUACAAUAAUAAAAAAUGCAAAGUAUGUUACAAUUAAUGUUGUCGUUAACAAUUAUAAUAUUUAGGAUAAUAUUAAGAUUAGUGAAAGAAAAUACUGUAUUUUAAAAGAAAACUGAUAACGAUAAAAGAAGAGGAAUAAUCUCAAAAAUAAAGUCGAGCUUGUUACAUUGUUACACGCAGUUGCAUGGAGAUGUUUACUAAGUGGAAUAAAAUAAACAGUUUUUUGCCACUAACUAUAAUAGUAACAAAAGAGUUGACGCAAGCAAUGGAAGAGUCUUGGUUGCAUCGCAUAUUUUACAAUUCUGUUUACAAUUGGAUGGAAAUUGAAAAUAUAGAACUUCAUUUUAGCAAAUAGCAGCCUUUAAUCAGAAAUUCAGCCUAGAAUCUCCUUUUCGUGCAACAUGAAAUGAAUAUCAAUGUCAUGUAUGGAAGAUGCAAUUUCUUAUGAGGAUACUCAUAUGUAUGGAUUACAGAGGUGCAGAUGUAUCACGUAGACAUUUUUCUGAUUAUUACAUAAGUUAGUUUUUUCAUACAAAUUGUACGAUCGCAUUAACAAAUUAGAUGCAUUGCUUUGAUCAAUUAAAGACAAAUUUCUGUCACAAGGAUUUAAAUUAUGUGGCUGACAGGAGAAAACGUUUGUUGUUAGGAAGUUAAAACAACAAACAGAGACAUAUAUACUUGCAGGUGAUGAAUGUUUAAUAAUACUUUUGAGCACUUAUUUCAAUCUGAGAGAGUUGUCCGGAACUAUUGGAAUCCACAAUGUGUAUGUUAAAAAAAACUAUCAUUAGGAAAUUCAGAAGAUACUUAUGAUGAAAAUUAUUUAAGGGAAACAAAACAUAGACGUGGAAUGAAGGAAUCUUUAAAUCAUUUGUCAGAAAUGCGAAUGAAAAAGAGAUACUGCAUUAAGUUUAUCUAAUCGCGAUUUAGAGGCGCUUCUCGAAGAUUUUAUAGUCCUACAACAAUUAUUAGAUCUUGAUCAAGUUGUAUUACAAAAAGUAUUGAACAAUAUUCCAAUGAAGAUUUCAAGAGAAAAAUAUAGUUGCGUGCUUCUAAUCGGAUUGGAUUUGAAGUUUAAAGACAGAAUAAAAACGCUGAAUUUUCGAAAAAAAAAAAAAGAAAAUUUAUACAUAUAUGAAUAUUAUAAAUAAUAUAUUUAGUGUCUAAAAAGGAAAAUGUUUUUCAGAGAGAUAAAUACAAUAAUAUGAGUUAAAAGCAUAUAUUAUUUUACAUAUUGAUUUUUAUAUUAUUGUAUCAUGUUUAUAUCAUUGCUGGGACGCACAUGAAAUAAAGAUAUAUUAAAAAUAAAAUGAAACAUAACUAUGUUGAAAAUUAAAGAUAGAGAGAGAGAGAUUUUGUAAUUAUGAUGGUAACUUACCAAUGCGAGAACUUAUAUUUGAUGGUUACUUACCAACGUAGAUAAUUUACCGACUGUCAAUUUCGAACGACCUCUUUGAAAAUAUAGUCUCCUAAUAGCGAACUCCUAAUAGCUCUUCGUACAACAUGUCGAGCUUGUUACAUUGUUACACGCAGUUGCAUGGAGACGUUUACUAAGUGGAAUAAAAUAAACAGUUCUUUGCCACUAACUAUAAUAGUAACAAAAGAGUUGACGCAAGCAAUGGAAGAGUCUUGGUUGCAUCGCAUACUUUACAAUUCUGUUUA
Long non-coding RNA from Nylanderia fulva, 3483 nucleotides. RefSeq lists it as uncharacterized. The record is from RefSeq and is a predicted model, not a curated record. NCBI's taxonomy places the organism in Eukaryota, Metazoa, Arthropoda, Insecta, Hymenoptera, Formicidae.